UAUGACGCUGGCGGCAGGCCUAACACAUGCAAGUCGAGCGAGAAAGCACUUCGGUGCGAGUACAGCGGCGGACGGGUGAGUAACGCGUAGGAAUCUACCUGGUAGUGGGGGACAACAUGUGGAAACGCAUGCUAAUACCGCAUACGCCCUAUGGGGGAAAGUGGGGGACCUUCGGGCCUCACGCUAUCGGAUGAGCCUGCGUAAGAUUAGCUAGUUGGUGGGGUAAAGGCUCACCAAGGCGACGAUCUUUAGCUGGUCUGAGAGGAUGAUCAGCCACACUGGGACUGAGACACGGCCCAGACUCCUACGGGAGGCAGCAGUGGGGAAUAUUGCGCAAUGGAGGCAACUCUGACGCAGCCAUGCCGCGUGUGUGAAGAAGGCCUUAGGGUUGUAAAGCACUUUCAAUUGGGAGGAAAGGUUAUAGGUUAAUAGCCUGUAACUGUGACGUUACCUUUAGAAGAAGCACCGGCUAACUCCGUGCCAGCAGCCGCGGUAAUACGGAGGGUGCGAGCGUUAAUCGGAAUUACUGGGCGUAAAGCGCGCGUAGGCGGUUGAUUAAGUCGGAUGUGAAAGCCCUGGGCUCAACCUGGGAACUGCAUUCGAUACUGGUCAACUAGAGUACGAGAGAGGGAGGUAGAAU
Molecule: ribosomal RNA, 640 nt
Filed under: uncultured bacterium
Lineage: Bacteria
Description: bacterial SSU rRNA
Rfam family: Bacterial small subunit ribosomal RNA
Source: RNAcentral